GUCCAGGAUAGUUUAGUGGACAUGGCAUCUGCCCGGUAAGCGGAACAUUGUGGGUUCGUUUCCCAUCGCUGGACA
Molecule: transfer RNA, 75 nt
Filed under: Cordylochernes scorpioides
Lineage: Eukaryota; Metazoa; Arthropoda; Arachnida; Pseudoscorpiones; Chernetidae
Description: tRNA-Thr
Rfam family: tRNA
About the family: Transfer RNA (tRNA) molecules are approximately 80 nucleotides in length. Their secondary structure includes four short double-helical elements and three loops (D, anti-codon, and T loops). Further hydrogen bonds mediate the characteristic L-shaped molecular structure. tRNAs have two regions of fundamental functional importance: the anti-codon, which is responsible for specific mRNA codon recognition, and the 3' end, to which the tRNAs corresponding amino acid is attached (by aminoacyl-tRNA synthetases). tRNAs cope with the degeneracy of the genetic code in two manners: having more than one tRNA (with a specific anti-codon) for a particular amino acid; and 'wobble' base-pairing, i.e. permitting non-standard base-pairing at the 3rd anti-codon position.
Source: RNAcentral